GUGGAGAAACAAGUUAGUGGGCGGUUGUUUACUUUACCAUAAAAAUGUCUUAACUUUAUUUUAACGAUCUUUAAAAUUUGCAUAAAUAGAGUAGAUAUUUUAUCAUUGCUAUUGAGAAAUAGGUACUGCAUAAAUAGAACUUGUUUUUAGUUGAGUAUGGAACAAAACAAAUAUUUUUAUGAAAACUGUUGUUGCUUUUCAAAAGGAAAUUGUGGAUCAUUCAAAAAACAUAAAAUUAUAAACAAAAUGUUCUACAUUCAUCAGCUGGGAGAUGUUGAUGUUAAGAAACACCUCAUCAACUUAAAGGUCAUGCGAUUAAACGAUAAUAAUAUUUGGGAAGAAAAUGGACUUAUUGCAAAUAGACUUAAAAGAAAUCUU
Molecule: non-coding RNA, 378 nt
Organism: Hydra vulgaris (swiftwater hydra)
Lineage: Eukaryota; Metazoa; Cnidaria; Hydrozoa; Anthoathecata; Hydridae
Source: RefSeq, a predicted model, not a curated record